Long non-coding RNA from Catharus ustulatus (Swainson's thrush), 1521 nucleotides. RefSeq lists it as uncharacterized. NCBI's taxonomy places the organism in Eukaryota, Metazoa, Chordata, Aves, Passeriformes, Turdidae. The record is from RefSeq and is a predicted model, not a curated record. The transcript is spliced from 3 exons.
UUUGGGGGAAUUCAGGAGGUUUAGGGGGGAAAUCGGGGGGUUUUGAGGGAGAUUUGGGGAAAUUUAGGAGGUUUAGGGGGAAAUUUGGAGGAAUUUAGGAGGUUUUGAGGGAGACUUGGGGAAAUUCGGGGGGUUUUGAGGGAGAUUUGGGGGAGAUUUGUGGAAAUUCAGGAGGUUUAGGGGGAGAUUCGGAUAAAUUCAGGAGGAUUUGAGGGAAAUUUAGGAGGUUUAGGGGGAGAUUUGUGGAAAUUCAGGAGGGUUUGAGGGAAAUUCAGGAGGUUUAGGGGGAAAUUCAUGAAGUUUUGAGGGAGAUUUGAAUAAAUUCAGGAGGUUUUGGGGGAAAUUCAAAAGGUUUUGGGGGAGAUUUGGGGGAAUAUGGGAGAUUUAGGGAGAGAUUUGGGAGUUUUGAGGGAGAUUUGGGGAAAUUCAGGAGGGUUUGAGUGAAAUUCGGGAGGUUUUGGGGGAAAAUUUGGGAAAAUUCAGGAGGUUUUUGGUGAGAUUUGUGGAAAUUUAGGAGGUUUUGGGGAAAAUCAGGAGGGUUUGGGGGAAAUUCAUGAGGUUUUAGGGGAGAUUUGCAAAAAUUCAGGGGGUUUGGGGGGAGAUUUGUGGAAAUUUAGGAGGUUUUAGGGGAAAUCUGGAGGAAAUCAGGGGAUUUUGGGGGAGAUUUGUAAAAAUUUAGGAGGUUUAGGGGGAGAUUUGGGGAAAAUUAGAGGUUUUGGGGAAGAUUUGGGGAAAUUCAGGUGGGUUUGAGGGAAAUUCAGGAGGUUUUGAGGGAAAUUUAGGAGGUUUAGGGGGAGAUUUGUAGAAAUUUAGGAGAUUUUGAGGGAGAUUUGGGGAAAUUUAGGAGGUUUUGAGGGAAAUUAAUGAGGUUUUGGGGGAGAUUUCGGGAAGUUAAUGAGAUUUUAGGGGAGAUUUGGGGGAAUUCAGGAGGUUUAGGGGAAAUUUGUGGAAAAUCAGGAGGUUUUGAGGAAAAUUUGGAGAAAUUUAGGAGGUUUUGAGGGAAAUUUGUGAAAAUUUAGGAGGUUUUGGGGGAAAUUUUGGUAAAAUCAGGAGGUUUUGGGGCGAUUUGAGAGUUUUUAGGGGAGAUUUGGGAGGUUUUGGGGAAAAUUUGGGAGGUUUUUUAAGGAUUUAGGGGAAAUCUGGAGGAUUUGGGUCCCUCUGGGAGGAGAUUUGGGGGAAAUUUGGAGUUUUCAGGCAGAUUUUGGGGUGAAAUCGGAAAAUUUUGGGCAAAAUCUGGAGAUUUUGAGGUGAGAUUGGCGAAUUUUGAAACGAAAUUGGGAAAUUUUGGGGUUAAAUUGGGAUUUUGGGGUCAAACCAGUGGGUAUUGGGGUCACUGGGGAAGCCCCGCCCCCAAUUCGGGAAGCCACGCCCCAAUUAGUGAAGCCACGCCCCCAUUUCACGAAGCACCGCCCCUUUCCAGGACCCUGCGCUCCCCAUUGGCCGGUGGGCGGUGACGUCAUCGCGGCAGAACCAAUCAGAGCCUGGAGCUCCGGAGCCCCCCCAGCCUGAGGAGAGCCCCCC